Molecule: ribosomal RNA, 253 nt
Filed under: uncultured bacterium
Lineage: Bacteria
Description: partial 16S ribosomal RNA
Rfam family: Bacterial small subunit ribosomal RNA
Source: RNAcentral
UACGAAGGGGGCUAGCGUUGUUCGGAAUUACUGGGCGUAAAGCGCGUGUAGGCGGGUCUUUAAGUCAGGGGUGAAAUGCCAAGGCUCAACCUUGGAACUGCCUUUGAUACUGGAGAUCUUGAGUCCGGGAGAGGUGAGUGGAACUGCGAGUGUAGAGGUGAAAUUCGUAGAUAUUCGCAAGAACACCAGUGGCGAAGGCGGCUCACUGGCCCAUAACUGACGCUGAGGCACGAAAGCGUGGGGAGCAAACAGG